This 493-nucleotide ribosomal RNA is filed under the name uncultured bacterium. RNAcentral's name for it is "partial 16S ribosomal RNA". It matches the Rfam family "Bacterial small subunit ribosomal RNA", at positions 28 to 507 of the family's 1533-position model. The record is from RNAcentral.
GACGAACGCUGGCGGCGUGCUUAACACAUGCAAGUCGAACGGUGAAGGGACCGGUUUUUGCUGGUUCUGGUUGAGUGGCGAACGGGUGAGUAACACGUGAGUCACCUGCCCCCUUCUUCUGGAUAACCGCAUGAAAGUGUGGCUAAUACGGGAUAUUCUGCGCCUGCUGCAUGGUGGGUGUGGGAAAGAUAUUGUUUCGGUGGGGGAUGGGCUCGCGGCCUAUCAGCUUGUUGGUGGGGUGAUGGCCUACCAAGGCGGUGACGGGUAGCCGGCCUGAGAGGGUGGACGGUCACACUGGGACGGAGACACGGCCCAGACUCCUACGGGAGGCAGCAGUGGGGAAUAUUGCACAAUGGGCGCAAGCCUGAUGCAGCGACGCCGCGUGAGGGAUGGAGGCCUUCGGGUUGUAAACCUCUUUCGCCAGUGAAGCAGGCCUGUCCCUUUUGUGGGUGGGUUGACGGUAGCUGGAUAAGAAGCGCCGGCUAACUACGUG